Long non-coding RNA from Ostrea edulis (European flat oyster), 899 nucleotides. RefSeq lists it as uncharacterized. The record is from RefSeq and is a predicted model, not a curated record. Lineage: Eukaryota; Metazoa; Mollusca; Bivalvia; Ostreida; Ostreidae. The transcript is spliced from 2 exons.
AGAGAGAUCAAAGGCAAAAACAUUGGUAGUGUAGAUAUUGCAACAUACAGUCAGAAGUAACCAUGUGCUUGGGAGUGACUAUUCAUUUUCAAGAGACCAGAAGUUCAAAUAGCCAGAUGGUUAGAGUUGCUACCAAUGUGUGAUUUCACCAUACAACUGGACGAUAUUCAUGGCAAUGCAGAUGCUUAGUUGAGAAGACUAUUAACGCAUAUACGAGUCUGGUCUCGUAUAUGCGGAUUUAUCGCAGUGACGCUAUCAUUUUAUCCAUUGCAGAUAAAUUAGGUCCAUUCGGAAACGGAUCAAUUCAGCCUUUCCGGAUCAUGUAAGUUCAUGUGGAUUUACUUAAAAUAAUGUAAUUUUAACUUCCUUUCUAGAAUCGAGAAUUAAGUUAGGUGGGUAAAUUUGCUGAGAGCAGAAUAUUGCUAUUUUUAUUUUUUUUGACAAUAUACUGCUGUUUUGUUUUUUUUAAAUUUUCGUUGUAGUUGAAGAUGAUCAGUGGUGUCAGCUUUCAUUCCGGACUACGUCGCGGUGGUGAAUGCUGUUUGGUUGUAUUCCGUCGCACCUCAACGCAGUUGGAUGAGUGCAACACAUUCUUAAGCUCAUUACAUUGUUUUGAUAUUGAACUGUUGAUUUGGAAUUUGUACUUUGAACAUUGAACUUGACCAUUCCGCAUUGAAUGAUACUUGACUAUUGGGCAUUGAACUGUAAUUUACUAUUGAUUGUUUAUUGUUUUGGUGACGUUCAUGCACUUGUGCCAUACCCAGUGCAUGAUCCGCCCAAUUUGGGGCCGUCACAUAUUUUGUAUUGAUUGAUUGAUUGUUAUUGAGGGGCAGCCCUGUGGUAACCCCUGCAAGUAAUCACCGCGGUCAGAAGCGCCAUAAUAAACUAGUAUAAACACA